Molecule: non-coding RNA, 24 nt
Filed under: Gossypium hirsutum (cotton)
Lineage: Eukaryota; Viridiplantae; Streptophyta; Magnoliopsida; Malvales; Malvaceae
Source: RNAcentral
UUUUCAAUAGGUGUCUUUAUGAAU